RNAcentral lists this non-coding RNA (106 nucleotides) under Natranaerobius thermophilus. RNAcentral describes it as "TPP sequence". It matches the Rfam family "TPP riboswitch aptamer (THI element)". Rfam says of the family: Vitamin B(1) in its active form thiamin pyrophosphate (TPP) is an essential coenzyme that is synthesised by coupling of pyrimidine and thiazole moieties in bacteria. The previously detected thiamin-regulatory element, thi box was extended, resulting in a new, highly conserved RNA secondary structure, the THI element, which is widely distributed in eubacteria and also occurs in some archaea. Analysis of operon structures identified a large number of new candidate thiamin-regulated genes, mostly transporters, in various prokaryotic organisms. RNAcentral also lists the same sequence under 1 other name. The record is from RNAcentral. Lineage: Bacteria; Bacillati; Bacillota; Clostridia; Natranaerobiales; Natranaerobiaceae.
UCAGCAAAUUAGGGGAGCCGUAUUGGCUGAGAGUGGACCUGAAGAGGUCCUGACCCUUUAACCUGAUCUGGGUAAUGCCAGCGCAGGGAAUUACUCAUAGAUCCUG